AGGAGCCUGAGCGUAAUGUUAAUGUUCUGAGUGCUUCUGAAGUGACAGGAAGUGGUGCAUAUGCCCAGGGACAAAGCCAAGUUGAGGAGCAGAACCACAGUAGCUUGAGGAAGGAAUAGGUGAGAGUCAGAAAUAAGCUUCAAAUGAAAUAGGCUUUCGAUGUGACAGUGUUUACAGGAAACAUUAUGCUGUUACGAACUUCCCUUAGAAUCAACCCAUUUGUGAAACACCACAUUAAUAAGAGCAGUAUCUUUGGAGAUUGGAGAGUCCACCAAGGAUGCCCACUGGCUCCCUACAAAGUUUUUUAUGUGAGGACUCGGUCUCAGAUAUGGCUACUGGGAUUCUGUUCAAACUGAGUGAAGACAUCAUCAUCUUUCUUUGAGAUCUUCCUUGCUUUCUGGCCAAAGAAGUUAUUCCCUGACCCGACUUUCCAAAGAGUACUAGUUCCUUUUAGCAGUGAUUAGAAACCUGAUCUGAGUACUACUGUGUGUGCUUGUGACUAGUGUGGUUUUAUUGUUUCUAUGUCCUUUCAGCGAGCAGAUCUACAAUGAGGGAUACAUCUAAACAAAACUCCAUAUUAAUAAGUCCAGUUGAAAUCUAACAACAUAGGGUUCUUUCGCAUUCUCUUGCAUUCCAUAUUUGUAUAUUCGUUCACCCAUGGUGGCAACCCUGGCUAUUAGAAAUAUAAUUGUAUUUAUUUUGCUGUAUCCUACAAUAAAACAAAAAAAUUAAGAAUUACUAUACCAACAUCAUGAUAAAAAUACACAUACUAAGUAAAUCUGUUAUGUAAACUACAAGUGUGUUUGUAGCAUUUUUGUUUUUACACUAUAGCCUACUAAGUGUGCAAUUAGACUUCUUGCUCACUGGUUUCUGUUUACUUUUAAUUUUAGUAUU
This 894-nucleotide long non-coding RNA is filed under the name Homo sapiens (human). RNAcentral's name for it is "HSALNT0058012". The record is from RNAcentral. Lineage: Eukaryota; Metazoa; Chordata; Mammalia; Primates; Hominidae.